Molecule: long non-coding RNA, 756 nt
Organism: Oxyura jamaicensis (ruddy duck)
Lineage: Eukaryota; Metazoa; Chordata; Aves; Anseriformes; Anatidae
Exons: 3
Source: RefSeq, a predicted model, not a curated record
UGAGGGGUUGAACCAGGCUCUGUGGGGGCAUGGAGCUGCCUCCAUGCUGCCCAUGCUCUCGUGGGGUUUUCUGCUGGCUCCACUCUGCCCCGUGUUGUGGAUAGCUUCCCAAAGCUGGAGUCUAAAUUUACUUCCUUUCUGCAGAGGCCUGUUAGUCAUCUCCCACUUAUAAACAAACAUUUUAGAGACACCAGGGAAGCCGAGCCAUGAAGAAGACAAAGCUUUGCUGGUUUUCAAGUAACUAAUUCAUCAGCAGGCUCCACAGGAGUUGUGCAAUAGCCCAGCCACUAAAGAAUCAAAACCAUCCCCUACUUGUUAGGAAAACAGGCUUCUUGCAUAGACAGAUCUUUUUGUCUUCAGUUUGACUUUCACAUUCCUUUAAAAGCAUUGUAGAUGAGAUGGUUUGUCUUCCUGCUUUUCUGCUGAUCAGCCCAUGCCGUCUUCAGACCCUUCCUUCCUCUGUGUGCGGAGGUCUCCUCAAGUCGUUCUGAGGGUGCUUGCACUGGUAGGAGAGCAGAGGCCUGAGGAGUGGUGGUGGCUGCAGACUUGUAAAAGGGGAUCAUUUUCUUAAGCUAUUUGAAACCGGGAAAACCAGCAGCUGACUUUAAUUAAAUGGGGACCAGACUAUAAAUCCCACCACCGGCGUUUCCUCCCCACGGAAGCGAACCUCUGAAGUCUGCUCCAACCUGCCUUGCUGCAGGACCAAGUGCAUCAGCAGCCAAAGGUUACCCCCUGCAGUAAAUCCAAAGCUACUGC